UGAUAAUUAGUUUAAACCAAAACAAAUGAUUUCGACUCAUUAGACUAUAGCUAGCACUAUAAUUAUCAA
Molecule: transfer RNA, 69 nt
Filed under: Crossarchus platycephalus (flat-headed kusimanse)
Lineage: Eukaryota; Metazoa; Chordata; Mammalia; Carnivora; Herpestidae
Description: tRNA-Arg
Rfam family: tRNA
About the family: Transfer RNA (tRNA) molecules are approximately 80 nucleotides in length. Their secondary structure includes four short double-helical elements and three loops (D, anti-codon, and T loops). Further hydrogen bonds mediate the characteristic L-shaped molecular structure. tRNAs have two regions of fundamental functional importance: the anti-codon, which is responsible for specific mRNA codon recognition, and the 3' end, to which the tRNAs corresponding amino acid is attached (by aminoacyl-tRNA synthetases). tRNAs cope with the degeneracy of the genetic code in two manners: having more than one tRNA (with a specific anti-codon) for a particular amino acid; and 'wobble' base-pairing, i.e. permitting non-standard base-pairing at the 3rd anti-codon position.
Source: RNAcentral